AUAUAAAUUGGACACUAUGAUAAGUUUUCUGUAUUUGGGUACCUGGAUAACUUUGAGUGAUUGGUACAACCGACCAGCAUAAAA
Molecule: non-coding RNA, 84 nt
Filed under: Clostridium sp.
Lineage: Bacteria; Bacillati; Bacillota; Clostridia; Eubacteriales; Clostridiaceae
Also listed under: 1 other name
Description: c-di-GMP-II sequence
Rfam family: Cyclic di-GMP-II riboswitch aptamer
Source: RNAcentral